CUUCUGUUCAAAGGGCGAGGGGUUGGAAAGCCAGAACCUUAGAGAAGAGUUGGAAGGACUGACACCUACCAGAGCUCAAGGUUGGAGCUGGAGUGACAUCUGAUGGAGAAACUGAUGCACAGAAAGGUUAAGUGAAAAUUUCCCAAAGGUGCAUAUUGAAAGAUCUCAUUGAAAUUUGAAGGCGAGAUGUGGAUACUGCAGUCUGCAGACUUCUGAAUAGAACCUGAAGCUGUAUAAAAGACACUCUUUGAAUCCAGUUAAAACAGUUUUAUCUGACUGUUCACUGAUUCCCCUUCACUGGUCAUGAUCUGCCUGUGGCAAACCGCUUCUCCUUGUGAUUGUGAAGAUUACUCCCACCUAUGCUCUUUCUGACAGUGCGAAUAUUGACUUGCACUUAUAAAGGUCAGGCAGCUCCAACAGUUACUGGGAGUGAGCGCACGAACUCCAGCAAGUCUCUCUGAAAAGAAUUUAACCUUCAAAUUAUAAAACACGUUACUCUGCAGAGCCAGUGUUGCAGUCAGCUCAAAAGUUAACCCCACUUAGCUGCCAACAUAAAUGGGGAACUGAACAUUGCCACAGCCAAAGAAAAUAAUCAAACAUCUAAGUGGACAAAGUAUCUAAGGUUAUCCACCUAGCAAGCAUUUUAUUUAAUUUUUAAAAGGUUGUUUGGUGGCACAGAAAGUCAUUGCCUGGGUCUUUCAGCUUUGAAAACACAUAAUAGUCCUUUCAGCUUUUAAGAACCAUGUGCUAAAAAGAUAAACCAUCCCAUACACUUCUUUUCACCAUCAUUCUGACAUUAGAUCAAGAAAAAUGUUAAUUCCCAGUGAAGCGCAGGAACUUCUUACUUCCCCUUUGAAAAGUCUUUUGCCUUCCUCGGUAUCUGAUGUCAUGUGAAUACAAGUUCAGAGUACAGCUGGGAUAAUUUAAAGUCUGUGGGAAUUUGGCCUAUCUGCUAAUGGCUCUGUCCCACAGUACAAUACAAGAAGAAUAGCGGUGCAAAAAUGGGGCUGAGAAUGAAAGUUCACUUUUCAUCUGGAUAGCAAGUAAAAACCAAUAUUUUAAAUUUUUAAUAACACACAUUUAUAUUGUGGCAGUAGCAGCAGGAUUGUGCAGCAUAUAAAUGAAGAUGGCCCUCUGGUUUGUCUCGCACAGCGGAUGAAGGGAGACAUAAUGAUGAAGAGUGCCUUUUCCAAGCAAUACAGAGGAAGAAGAAUAGGUCUUGGGUGCCUUGGAAAAGCAAUGCUUUCUUGAUUCGGCACAUUCUUUAGAAAUGCAUUAUGACUUUCAGUGUUGUAAGUUUGACAUCAGCUAGAUUUUAGAUUGUGCUAAAAUCAUCCUUAAUGGCCUUUCUGCUUCAUCAGUGGGGCACCUUUCAAGUAACAGAGUGCCAAUCAGUGGCUCUUGUUCCUCUUUAGCUCAGAGAUAUUACUGUACAGCUUUUUUUCAGAGAUCAUGAUCUUUCUCUGCUUGAUAUGCCCCUUUAUUAUAACUGUGUAGUUAAAGGUCUCGUGGCAUAUCUGUUAUAAACUCCUAAUUUUUUUGACUGCAACACUGUGCUCCAGGAGAAAGCUUAGCAUAUUAAGUCUUAGCCUCCCGAGAGCACUAGUUUGAUAUUUGA
Molecule: long non-coding RNA, 1618 nt
Organism: Mauremys reevesii (Reeves's turtle)
Lineage: Eukaryota; Metazoa; Chordata; Testudines; Geoemydidae
Exons: 3
Source: RefSeq, a predicted model, not a curated record